AUCGGUUCUCGGCUCUCUGAGCUAAGAUCAUGUAUAGUAUCUGUUCUUUGCAGUGUAGUUUCUUUCUGCAACAGUCCCUAAUUUGGGACCAAUAAAAUUACCUGUACUUUUCCUAAAAUUACCUGUGCUUUUCCAACUGGGACGGGUGCUGUGAGCUUGCUCAAUCCCGUCCACGGGUCGGCCUCGUAUUGCAUUACCUCGAGGAUUGGCCCAUUAAUA
RNAcentral lists this small nuclear RNA (219 nucleotides) under Taenia asiatica. RNAcentral describes it as "U2 spliceosomal RNA". It matches the Rfam family "U2 spliceosomal RNA". From Rfam's summary of the family: U2 is a small nuclear RNA (snRNA) component of the spliceosome (involved in pre-mRNA splicing). The record is from Rfam by way of RNAcentral. Lineage: Eukaryota; Metazoa; Platyhelminthes; Cestoda; Cyclophyllidea; Taeniidae.